GAUGAACGCUGGCGGCGUGCCUAAUACAUGCAAGUCGAGCGAACAGACGAGGAGCUUGCUCCUCUGACGUUAGCGGCGGACGGGUGAGUAACACGUGGAUAACCUACCUAUAAGACUGGGAUAACUUCGGGAAACCGGAGCUAAUACCGGAUAAUAUAUUGAACCGCAUGGUUCAAUAGUGAAAGACGGUUUUGCUGUCACUUAUAGAUGGAUCCGCGCCGCAUUAGCUAGUUGGUAAGGUAACGGCUUACCAAGGCAACGAUGCGUAGCCGACCUGAGAGAGUGAUCGGCCACACUGGAACGGAGACACGGUCCAGACUCCUACGGGAGGCAGCAGUAGGGAAUCUGCCGCAAUGGGCGAAAGCCUGGCGGAGCAACGCCGCGUGAGUGAUGAAGGUCUUCGGAUCGUAAAACUCUGUUAUUAGGGAAGAACAAAUGUGUAAGUAACUAUGCACGUCUUGACGGUACCUAAUCAGAAAGCCACGGCUAACUACGUG
RNAcentral lists this ribosomal RNA (497 nucleotides) under uncultured bacterium. RNAcentral's name for it is "partial 16S ribosomal RNA". It matches the Rfam family "Bacterial small subunit ribosomal RNA", at positions 28 to 507 of the family's 1533-position model. The record is from RNAcentral.